GAUGAACGCUGGCGGCGUGCUUAACACAUGCAAGUCGAACGGAGAGCCUAUGACGGAGUUUUCGGACAACUGAUUAGGUUUCUUAGUGGCGGACGGGUGAGUAACGCGUGAGGAACCUGCCUUGGAGUGGGGAAUAACACUGAGAAAUUUGUGCUAAUACCGCAUAAUGCAAUUGAGUCGCAUGGCUCUGAUUGCCAAAGAUUUAUCGCUCUAAGAUGGCCUCGCGUCUGAUUAGCUAGUUGGUGGGGUAACGGCCCACCAAGGCGACGAUCAGUAGCCGGACUGAGAGGUUGACCGGCCACAUUGGGACUGAGACACGGCCCAG
RNAcentral lists this ribosomal RNA (325 nucleotides) under uncultured bacterium. RNAcentral's name for it is "bacterial SSU rRNA". It matches the Rfam family "Bacterial small subunit ribosomal RNA", at positions 28 to 334 of the family's 1533-position model. The record is from RNAcentral.